GUCUCCGACCAUUAUCCUCUGCUCUCAGUAGAACAGUGUAUUUAACGGCUUCAUUAAUGCCAGAGUGAAAAUUAUCUACUGCUGGAGUGACUGUCGUGUGGGGAAUUUUUACACCAGAACUGGAGCAGCAUUCUGAUCCUUCAGUACUUGGGAGCAACGUUUGUAAAGAUGUCGGUGUGGAGUCGUACAGUGCAUCCUCUCACCUGUUUAUCCCUCCCCGGGAUGUCUGAAUUCCUCCCGCGCAGGAGAGCGGAACUGGGGGUAAUAGUUUCCUGCAGAUACAGACGGACAAUAAAUUCGUACGCCCCCAAGAGUCUGGAAGAAACAGAGGAGGAGCAGUGACUCAUUCCUGAGUCAUAGAAGCCUCCCCGGAUUUAUCCUGGGAUGAUGUACUGCAUGCACCACUCCUUGAUCUGCUCUGUCUCGAAAGGACGACCGAGCCCUCGACGGCCCCGAAUAUAAUUGUGGAAAAAUAAAUGUUAGCUGGCAGCGAGCAUUCCUUGGCAGCAGCAGAGGUUGUGAUGUUUUAUGAGAUGUAUCAGUUUCUUCUAAAGGUUAUUCCCACUGAGAGUAUUUUCCCUGUUUCACAUCAUUUGAUGCCUGAGGCUGCAUGGAUCUCCCACCCGCUCCCCGUGGGUGCACUCGGGGACCUGCCCUUCUUCUCAGCACCGAUCCCUGACAGCAAGGGAGGAUGGAGCUUCCAAACCUCUGGCACAAACAAAACAUGUCCAGUAAUCAAAGCCAUCUGGCUUUAUACGACUCCUUUUGAAUUGGGUGGAAACCACCACUUGAGAAUCCCAAUUGUGCCAGAAGAUUUCCCUUUCUCCCGUAAGGGAUUUGUACCAGUCCUGGGGGGACACAAGAGGACAGGAGGAGAGUAUUCUGUGAUGGGGGUUCCAAUUAAUUACAGCAACCCCAGACCCUUGUGUGGCACAGCAUAUGGGAAUCAUAAAGCUACUUUAAAGUCAUGGCCCCUGAAGCACAAGAAUAGAGGGGCUGAAAAUCUAGAGUUUAGACUGACAAAAUCUGUUCCGAGGUGGGAGCAGCUCUAA
Molecule: long non-coding RNA, 1052 nt
Filed under: Calidris pugnax (ruff)
Lineage: Eukaryota; Metazoa; Chordata; Aves; Charadriiformes; Scolopacidae
Description: lncRNA (ENSCPUG00000015102.1)
Source: RNAcentral